GACGAACGCUGGCGGCGUGCUUAACACAUGCAAGUCGAACGGUGAAGGGACUGGUUUUGCUGGUCCUGGAUGAGUGGCGAACGGGUGAGUAACACGUGAGUAACCUGCCCCCUUCUUCUGGAUAACCGCAUGAAAGUGUGGCUAAUACGGGAUAUUCUGGGUCUGUCGCAUGGUGGGCCUGUGAAAGAUUGCGCCUUUUUUGGUGUUUUUGGUGGGGGAUGGGCUCGCGGCCUAUCAGCUUGUUGGGGGGGUGAUGGCCUACCAAGGCGGUGACGGGUAGCCGGCCUGAGAGGGUGGACGGUCACACUGGGACUGAGACACGGCCCAGACUCCUACGGGAGGCAGCAGUGGGGAAUAUUGCACAAUGGGCGCAAGCCUGAUGCAGCGACGCCGCGUGAGGGAUGGAGGCCGUCGGGUUGGGAACCUCUUUCGCCAGUGAAGCAGGCCUGCCUCUUUGUGUGGGUGGGUUGACGGUAGCUGGAGAAGAAGCGCCGGCUAACUACGUG
This 506-nucleotide ribosomal RNA is filed under the name uncultured bacterium. Its description in RNAcentral is "partial 16S ribosomal RNA". It matches the Rfam family "Bacterial small subunit ribosomal RNA", at positions 28 to 507 of the family's 1533-position model. The record is from RNAcentral.